UCGUAAGUCAAUUUUAUUUUAUUUUAUUUUAUUAUUAUUAUUUUUUUACAACAACUGUUGGUAGGCCUAAUUUUUUUUUUUCCCUGUUUAAAUUUAAUUUCAAAAACAUUUUAAAGAUAGCAUUGCAAAGUACUUGACAUCUUUUCUUUUUAAAUUUCUUCAGUAACUAUUGAAAAGAUGGUGUACACUUACCAUUGAAAUCUUAUAAAAAUAUAGUAAUAAAAAUAAUUAAUACAAUAAAAAAUAAUAAAAAAGAGAGUUCGAAAUAUUAUUAUUAUUAUUUUGUAAAAAAAUCUCUCUCCUUACCUGCGUAUUCGACCUAUCUUGCAACGCUCUCAUCAAACCUAGAACCAAAAAAAAAAAAAAAAAAUCACUACCAAACAACCUCUCUCUCUCUCUAUCAAAAAUUUUGUCCCCAAAUGUUCAUCUCACAAACUGUGAUUGCCAUUAUACUGGGAAUCAAGGUCAAAGACCACUCACAAGACCAUCAUAAAAACUUUGUUUGCAAUCAUAGUUGUGGUUUUGGCGGCGGUGACAACAGAGAAUGAAGACGGCAGCAGCGGAGGCAGAGGUGGAGGAAGACGGUGGCAAAGGAGGCAGAGGUGGAGGAAGAUAGACUCGGCGGAGGAGGAGGGAGAGGGAGACGACGGCAGCGGCGGAGGAGGAGGCCAACCCGAAUUAAAAUACCCAAUUCGGGUUGGACGGGUUGGGCUCGGGUUAGAACCUUUCUAACAUGAGGUCAACCCGAAUUGGGCCCGGGUGAGCAUUAUUCAGCCCGAGCCCAACUCGAAGCUCUAAAAUUGGGAGCCCCAACUCAAAACACUUUGGGUUGGGUUAGAGUUGGGCUGGGCUAGCCCGCCCAACUUGCACCCCUACCAGGGGUUUUAAGUUUCUUAUUCUCUGUUGGCUGAUAAACUAAAGAAGAGCGAUUCAAUCCGCGAAUACGAAAACCCUGCGGUUCUCUCUCCACCCAUUUGCUUGCUCUCCAGUUCAGUACUUUCUCACCCUGUUGACAUAUAAAUGUAUAUGUAUCUAUUGUAAUCGUGUAUGUAUGAAAUAUUUAAAGCCUUUUUCUGACCAAUUUGUUGUUAGGUGGGCCUAUUCAUACUUGUAUAAGUUCUGAAUGUUUUUCAUUACAAUCAGCAAUGGAAAAUGCAUCAAUGCUUAUACAUAUAUAUACAAACACACACAUAUGUGUGUGUCCUUAGUUGUGUGUUUUGGAUGAGUAGCUAUCAAUAAAUUUGACAGCUUGCAUUCAAUCUUGAUCCUGUUUUGGUUGUUUCUUGAUAAUCUCUCAUUAUUUGCUUUUAAAGUCCCCCGGCACUUACAUUUCUUAGUAUCGGUAUUGUGAUCGACACUUAGAAUGAUAAAUUCCCUUUUCUGUUUUUCACAUUCUUUUCUUGUUUAGGAUACAAAUAAAAAUAAAUAAAAAAAAUCAUAUUGGCUAGUCCAAUAUUACUCUAAUUGCUUAUUUGUUUUCACAUAAACCUAGAAGAUUGCCUUAACCUAAUGAGUAAGGAAACCUAGAAGAUUGUAUUAGGCUUUCCAUUCUCACUUCCCUUUUCUUCCUUUCUCUAGUAUCUCAGCUGGUAUUAGGAGAUUAAUAAAAUGGAAUUGAGAACUAAAAAAAAGCUAGCCCAGUGCACGAGGUUCCACCAUUGCGGGAUUUGGGGAGGGUCAGAUGUACACUGUACAAAUUAAAUAUGUAUAACCCUUUUUCCAGAAUGCGUUUGUUUGUUAACAAAUUGGUGCUAUAAACCUUUCCUACACUGCAUUGUAUUCGUUUUCUUUAUUUUUUAUUUAUUUUUGCUAACUAGGUAGUUGGACCUCCUUGAGCACCCUGCUAAUCCCUGUGGCCACUUGUAGUCUCCUCGUCUAAAGAAUAUUGCACAAUUGCUGGAGGAUGGCCCAAGAGGGGACUGUACUAUAUUAAUCUACUGUAUACCUAAAUAUUAUCCUCCAUUUAGAUAGCUGGAUUAAGAAUUAAUAGAUUUGCAUUGGAGUAUUCUGUGAAAUUAGGGAUACGGGUAGUUUUGAAAUAAUAUGUGCAUGAAGUAUUUGGAAAUUCAUGCAUUGUAUGAUUUUAAUUGCAGAUAAAUCAAAAUAAAUUAUACGUCCCCUAAAUCCAAGGUCCUCUGCUCUUUCCUCCUCCUUGAUUAUUCAAUCUGACUCCAAAAGCCAAUCCCUAUUUAUAUUUGUGAUUUGAGCCCCAAAUUCCUUAUUUCUAAGCCCAUUCAUCCAUAUGGACCUUAAAUUUCUUCAACAUUAGUUGUUGAACAUUUAUAUGUGACAUGCUUUACUCCAAUACUAGUUAAACCACAAUACUGAUGGCUUCAUCAAAAUGAAACCUCUUUUAAGUGCUUUGCGGUUCCCAGAGUUCCAUGUGAGACUAGAUCGAGCAUGUAAUCCUACAGAACCUUAUAUAAUGUUAGUAGGAAUUAGAAAUAUUGCAUCUGUGCUCCAGUCAGGAAGUUGCUUGAAGACAUGCACGAGCAAUUAGAUUUCCAUGUACAGAAGGACUAGGCAUCACUGAGCAACAUAUUACGAGAGGUUUAUUACGAGCUCUAGAUUUUCCAGUUUUCUGAGUAUUUUAAUUUUUUUCCUUGAUUUUGUUUGUGUGAUUUGAAAUGGCAGAAUGAAUGAACUUUAAAAAAGCAGGGAAUUGGUAAUUACUUUUUCUAAUAUCAUUUUUAUGUGUAUAAGUGGAUAAAGUUUCUGUUCUUAUGGUCGAUCUACUUAAAUUUAAAUUGUGAUUUAGUGGCAUGUGCUGCAGCCAUGUAUCUUUAGGGAACAACUACAUUAUAUAUAUUUCAUCAAGUUUUUGAAUGUUUUCAGGCGAAGCAUUUCUCCUUUAUUUUUAUUGUGUAAAUGGGGAAUAUAUUGAACUAGCAUCAUCUUUGCAAUUUACCAAAGGUGUUCAAGUGAAGGCAUGGAAAUAAUUGAUAAAGGCUGUUGAUGAGCUAUUCUUUUCUCUUGUUGAAGUGAACUUAUUGUUUUACAUCCAGAUGGAAGAAAAGGAAAACAUUACUUAAAAAAAACAAGUUGAGUAGAUUAAUGUGUAUUUAUUUUGCAACAUCUGUCUUUUGGUGCCUGCUACUCAAGUACCUGCUUAUAUUGAGUCAUUUAUGUAUUUCAUGGAUUUGCUGUUUAGCUUUCAUUAACAUGGCUGUGAUUAGGAUUCUAGUUGCAUGGGCUAUUUUCUUGUGAUAAAGUUGACGUCUCUUUAGCUAUAAUGAUACCUAAACAUGGAUUGCUGUGGCAUGCAAGAUAGUUUUGCAUAUUGCUUAUUAAUAAGGUAGAAUGUAAUAAGGUAGAAUAUUCAAAUGCUUUAGUUUUUAAAAAAAUUUUCUAUUUAAUAUAUGAUAGAUGGCUCUUUAGUUUAGAUGCACACUAUAUAUAUUCCACUUUUAAAAGCAUAUUUAAUAUUAAUCAUGGAAUGGCUCAGCAUAGUCAUUACCUAUUUGUUUGUUGUUUUGUUGUGUCAUGGUUGAGAGGGCCGCAAUGAACCAAGAUGUUCAUUGGCAGCUUGAGCUUGGCUAAGUUUUGGGCUCAUUUAUGAUUUUAGUGAACCAAGUUGAAGCAUUAAUGUGACUCUCUUUUAAUAAGCAAGAGUCAAAAAAGGCCCAAGCCCGGAUACAUAUGUAAGGAGGACAUAUCCAUAACAUGUCCGUGUGCAAGAAUGGCACUCAUUGAAUUCUCGUACAUACAUGUCCGAUACUGCCUAAAUAUAUUUAUAACAUUAUUACUUUAUUUUGAAUGUGUAUAUGAUAUUUCGUCAAGACAUAAAAAAACCACCAGUUUAACAAGUAUUUGAACAUUAAAUGUAACUUUUCGAAGUAUAACAUCAUAAUAUAAUUGUUAAGAAAAGUUUGGAUUUUUUUUGAAAAAGAAGAAUUGAGAUAUAAUGAGAAUAUAUCAUGACUAAUUUGGUCCGAAGUUUAUCUAUGCAAUAUAACUCUCAAUUCUCAGCUUGUUUUUCGAAUUUUCUUUUUUAUAAGGAAAUAUAAGCACCGGAUAUAUAGUAUGACAAACAAUGAUUUUGAAUUUAUACAUAUAUACCUAUAUAUAUUAAUUUUAUAUGUAACUACAUUAAUAUAGUAUAUAUUGUUGUGUCCUUGCUGUAUUCUUGUCCUAUUUUUAAAGAUUUUUUCAUAUCACCACAUCCAUAUCAUGUCAAGUCCAUAUUGCUUAUCUGUAUCCAUUUUCUGUAGUCUGAGUUGAGCUUGAACUUAGAUUCUAAACUCAUACCAGGUCGGAGCUGAACUAACACCUAAUUCAGCCAAGGCAAGCCAAGCCCAAACAGAUACUUGACUACGCUCAGUGUUAGCCCAUUACAUGGUCCAUCUUUUGUAUCGUUUUACUUGUUCUUUUUUUCUAAAAGAAGAAAAAUAAAUUCAGGUUAUUGUCAUUUUUUUAAAUAUGCCUUGCAGAAAAAGGAAAAUAUAGGAUUAUUUUGGUGGUGCUAAAUAUAGUAUGUUGGAAUGGAAGUGUACCACAUAGGAUUAUUUUGGGGGUGCCAAAUUUAGUACCUUGGAAUGGAAGUGCACCAUAUUCAUGGUCACGUGAUCCAGCAAUCAGAUUGCUGAUCGGUAGAGUAUUAGCAAUAAGGCUGCUCUUCAUUUAAUGCUGAAUUCCGGCUAUGCCAAUCAUUACUUUCCUGUCAGUGGAAACUGUUUGGCAGGAGCAGCUCCAGUGGCUGAGAAAUUCCCAUGACAUCAUUUCCUGGAGCGAGGAACUUUUGAUUUAGCAUUGAACAGAGGGCAUAGCUGCACAUCUGGCAAAAGGGAAUGCUUUUUAAAGCGAAGAAGUACACUGACAACCAACAAAAAAAAAAGUGACCAAUCGAGAUUAAUGUGAUGACAUCACGUACGACCCACAUGAAUGUAUCUGUAUGCCAUUUUUCUUUCAUACUGCUUAGUCGGCCUAUAUUUCUGGCUUGAGUUGCAUUACUCCUGUCAGAAAUAGAGUUGAUCAGGCUCCUUUUAUCAUUGAUCAGGUAGAGAAUUAUUAUGGGGACUUCAUUCCCAUUAUUAGUAGUCAAGAUCUGUUCAAACUGCAGAGUAAAGUUACAUUCCUUCUGACAGAAGCAAAAAGGUCCUUAGAUGAUCUAUUGCUGCUGGCAUGCAUCUGGCAAUUGCAGAAACGGCUGAAUGAAGGUGUCUCUGGUGCAGUGGUGCUCAUUAUUUCAGUCAUUGACAGAGUGACCAAGAUUUGAUAAAGGCGGUUAAUGAGCUAUUGUUUUCUCUUGUUGAAGUAAACUUACUGUUUUACACCCAAAUGGGAGGAAAGGAAAACAUUACGUAAAAAACAAGAUAGGAACAUGGUGCACUUUUUUUCCCCAGAUGUGGCACAGCAAUGAUGGCCUUUUAUAGUUUUGCAUUUUGCUUAGUAAGAAAUUAGAAUGUGACAAGAAAAAGGAAAAUAAGAUGGAUAGGAUUACUUGGGUGUUGCCAAAUAUGGUAUCUUGCCAUCUUGGAAUGGAAGUGUACUAUAUAGGAUUAUUUUGGGGGUGCCAAAUUUAGUAUCUUGGAAUGGAAGUGCACCAUAUUCAUUCUCAGGUGAUCAACGUUGCUUGAUCUGUAGGGUAUUAGCAAUAAGACUGCUCUUCAUUUAGUGCCAAUCAUUACUUUCUUCAGAGGAUACUGUUUCCUUUUUUUGGUGGGAGGCUGGGAGCAGCUCCAGCAGCUGUGGAAUUCCUAUGACAUCAUUUCCUGGAGUGAGGACAACUGUUGUUUUAGCAUUGAGCAGAGGGCAUGGCUGUACAUCUGGCAAAAAGAAAUGCUUUUUAAAGAGAAGAAGUUCAAAGACUAACCAAAAAAGAAAAAGAAAAGAAAAGUGACCAAUAGACAUUAAUGUGAUGACAUCACGUAGGACCCACAUGAAUUCAUCCGUUGGCCAUUUUUCUUUCGUACUGUUUAGUCGGCCUAUAUUUCCGGCUUGAGUAGCAUUACUCCUGUCAGAAAAGAGUUGGUCCAGUCACCUUUUAUCAUAUAUCGUUGAGAAAAUUAUUAUGGGCACUUCAUUCCCAUUAUGAGCAUUCAAGAUCUGUUCAAACUGCAGAGUAAAGUUCCAUUCCUUCUGAUCUAUUGCCUGCUGUCAUGCAUCUGGCAAUUGCAGCAGAGGCUGAAUGAAGGUGCCUCUGGUGCUGGUGCUCAUUCUUUCAGUCGGGCUUGAAGGAUAUCAAAUUACAAGUGAUUCAAUUCUCCCUUCGCUUAUCAAAGCUCCCUACAUAAGUCUUCAGAAAAAUCAAUAUACAAGUCAUUCAACUUGUAAGGUACGUAUCUUGUAGCUGUAAGAAUUUAAAUGACAGAAUUUAAUAAGAAACACAAUCCUGCUGUGGAAAUUCUGGUAAAAGCUUCAAACUUUGUUCCUUGUGCGUAUUUAAACUAAACUUUUCACUAAAAUUUUCUGUAGCACUUACAUUUGCUUGAAAGACAGUUUUCUAAAUUCUGGCAUCUGAUAUUCUGAAACUAGUCACUUGACAAUUAUAACAUGCUGCUGCUGCAAUAUGUUUUUAGCUGAACUCCGUUCGAGUGCAAUAUGGAACUUCUUCCAGUGCAGAAGAAAGGAGAACUCUGCUACAUCAGCACAAUAUUGAAAUACGCUUGUGUUGGGGAUUCUUUUUCUUUUUCCUUUUUUAUUUCGAAAAUUUUCUUUUCUAGUUUAUAUGCAUAUAUGUAGAGCUUCCAUGUGAAUCACAAAUGGCACGUAACAGCACAUGACAAUAUCUGCUCAAUCAUCAUUCCCUUAUUGUCCUUUAUAGAGUAAAUACUCGUGUUUGUUAUUAUGGUUUCUCAAUCUGAUGUAGAAUUUAGCGAUCUAAAUCUACAUUUUUGGACUAGAUUGUACAACGUAUACAUGUGUCCAUCAUUUAUGUGACUAAAUACAUGCAUGUGGCGUUCAUGCACACGUGUACUUGUAUAUGACUAGUUGACUUGUAUUUCCUCCAGUUUCCUUUUGGAACUCCUACUUUAAUUACUCAUUAAUAUCAAAUGCCCUGGUUGACACCUUGACGGUGCAUGUGAAUCACGAAUGACACAUAACAGCACAUGUAGAGCUUCCAUGUGAAUCACGAAUGGCACGUAACAGCACAUGAUAAUAUCCGCUCAAUCAUCAUUCACUUUCUGUCCUUUAUAUAGCAAAUACAUGUGUUUAUCAUUAUGGUUUCUCAAUCUGAUGUAGCCAAUCUACAUUUUUUGGACUGGAUUGUACAAAGUACGCAUGUAUCCAUCAUCUACGUGACUAAAUGCAUGCAUGUGGUGCUCAUGCACACGUGUACUUGUAUAUGACUAGUUGUAGUUAACCUGUAUUUCCUCCAGUUUCCUUUUGGAACUCCUACUUUAAUUACCCAUUAAUAUCAAAUGUCCUAGUUGGCACCAUGACGGUGCAUUGGAUGGGUUCACAUGGUAAAAUGCAAGGACAUUUUCAUGGAUCAACGGUUUCACCGUCCCAACUGUUCAACAACAGCUCUGACUUACCAAAGCUCUAACCCAUCUCUUUUAGCACUCAUCCCUGCACUGCAUCACUGUGCUACUAUAGGUUUUGACAAGUGCACAAAAAUGACUGUACGGAAGCUAUUAUAACUCUUUACAAGCUUAGUCACACACUUUGUUAGUAUGGUUUUAGAAUUGUUCUCGUCAAUGAAGCAGACUUUUCUUUGCAGAACUUAUAAUUUUGUUAAUUCUAACAGAGAGUUCACUGCUGUUUGGAGUUUGGACAUAUAUCAGUUGGUUUUUUUUUUUUUCUUCUUCUUCUUCUUUUUCUUUUAUUUAUUUAUUUCCUUUUUUUGGUAAGAAAGGUUGGGACAACAUUUUGUUUUGGUGAUGGUGAUACAGAAAGUCAGGAACUGGAUGUCAUAAUAUUGAUAGGUGGAUCCUGGUUCUUGUUUGAUCGAAAAGCACUGAGAUAUUUUCGUAAGACAAGGAAUGUCCAUUGUGGAGGAAAGGGAACAUAUGGAAAAUCAGUUUGUGAAGCUAAUGAGAAAAUAAAGGCGUGCUGUUGUAUAUAUCAUCUAAAAAUCGUGCUUUCUGGUUGAUUUGAGUUACGGAGCUGUUUAAAAUUUUUAUUUCCUGUGGACUUUCUUUAUUAAAAAAUAAAUUUAGUUUGGUAAAUAUGUUUUAUCUUAAUUAUCUUUCAAAUUGCUUGGCGACUGGAUGCUAAUGGAAAAAGAUAAAAGGCUCUCUUAUGUAAAUCCCAAGAUCCAAAUCAAGUGCCAAAUCUUAUUUUUAAUAUGAAAUUUUACUGUCAUCUUCAUUUGGGAUUUGAAACACCAUUAUGGAACUUCCUAAUGCUUCUAGUCAUGGAUGUUCUCUACUUGAAUUAGUUUUGUUUGUAUUGGAAGAAUAUCAUAGGAGUGAUUUUUACUGUAUAGUAGAAUAUUGAUUGGAGUGAUUUAUGGGAUUGAUUUUACGAAUUUUCCAUCAAUGUAUUUCCAUAUUUAUCACUUGUAUUCUUUCACCUAUAGAAAGAGGUGAUCAUUGUAAACAAUAUGAAGAGAGAAUGUAAUGAAAGCUUAGGGCUUUGUGUGUCAUGGAUGUAAGCCCUAAUGGCUUAAUAACGUUACAUUCUUGAGUUCUUCAUGUUUAAUUUCUCUCUUCAACUUUUAUAUCUUUCAUCAGUUUGUAACAUCCUUUCUAUAUGCUAUUUAUGGAAAUGUAGAACCUGAAGUUGGAAAGACGAUGAGCAUGAAUUUCUGCUUGGCCAGAGACAGAAAAUUGCAGGAGAUGGAAAUGCUCCAACAAAGUUCAAUCCGUGUUCCAUUAUUUUGAGGCUUGUGAUCAGUAUAUAAUGCUGAUAGUGAAAACCCACAUAUCAAAGUUUAAAUUGCAGAGACCAGGGUGAAGUGGAUUAUUGCAAGUUAAAGUUUCAGCAAGGAAGUCAAGUUGAAGAAUUUCUGCUUGCCUCAGUGGCUUACUAAUCAUUAAAAUCUCAUACUUGCGAGAAAAUUUUACCUAGUUCCGGCCAAUUACAAUUCGACACGCAAGUAAAUGUGUCAGUUUUAUUUAAAUUUUUGCUCAAGUGUCGAGUUGUAUAUCCAGACUAUAAAACAAUUUUUUAUAUUUUUCACUGGACUGAAAAUUCUCUUCGAUAAGUUCCAUCUAGUCAGUGAUGUUCGGUUACUCACGAAGGAUUACGAUCAUCACUAACUCGACGAAAUAGCACGGGAACUCUUUGGAAGGAUUUUUGUCCACUUACCAGUUACCACUCAUGUCAUGUGAUAGAUUGGAAGUCUGUACAUUUUGCUAUGUGUAAUGGCUUUAUGAAUAAUUACAGACAAAAUAAGGGUACAUAGGGUAUAAUAAAAUAGGGGGGAGAGAUACAAGACGUAUUGCAGAUAUAUGUAUAUACAGUAAGACGAUCUUGUAAUUCUACAACUGCUUUUAACUUUUCAUGGACACAAGUUUUGAAGAUUGAAAAGCUGCUUACAAUGAAACAGGUGUGAAAGUUUGUGUUGCUGGUGGAUUUUCUCUCUCACUACAGUAUAUUUCUUGAAAGUUUUCACACAAUUUAGAUGAAAUAAUGCACAUUAUUAAGUUAUUAAAGUAAAAUUAGAAGGUUUUCUUUGAGAGUACUUGUAUCAAAAACAACAUAUUAUAAAUACUAAUAAUCUGUCUAUAAGUAUAUACACACGCACAUUAUGAUCCAUAUGAAAUAAAAGUCGAAUUGUCCUUCCUUGGUCAUUAACUUUUUCAUAAAAAAAAAAAAUUAAAAGAAAAGAUCUAAGAUGCUAAAUCGGGAAAUAAUGAUAUUAAGAUAUAUGAUUUCCCGCCAUUUUUAGAGAGACUAAAAACAAUAGGACUGUUUCCCGCCAUUUUUGCUGCAAGGGUUAAUCAUAACGCGAAAACGACGUCGUGACGAUGGUGUUUCCACCACUGAAUCCACCAGCCGACGCCGUUUACAGCAAACGGAAUGUGAGAAUUUGACCUCGCAAAAUGGGUUUCCAAAUUUGUCCUCUAUUUUUGAUAAAAUUCCACCUACCCCUAUAUGAAUUUAUUAAAAUGCCCCUUAGAGAAGUCAACAGCGACCACCGUUCACCGCAACUUGUGAACAUUUUAAAUUUAAAAAGUAAAAAAAAAAAAAAAAACAAAUUCCACUUUUUAUUUAUUUUACUGCCUAAAAAUUUAAAAAUUUAAAAGAGGUAUGUCAAAUAAGGUCAUCGGCUAUCAUUAAAUUGAAGAAAAUAAUUGUUAAUUUUGGUUCUUAAAAAAUAGAGAAUAGUGUUAACACCA
Cornus florida is the source of this 10229-nucleotide long non-coding RNA. RefSeq lists it as uncharacterized. NCBI's taxonomy places the organism in Eukaryota, Viridiplantae, Streptophyta, Magnoliopsida, Cornales, Cornaceae. The transcript is spliced from 4 exons. The record is from RefSeq and is a predicted model, not a curated record.